Molecule: ribosomal RNA, 495 nt
Filed under: uncultured bacterium
Lineage: Bacteria
Description: partial 16S ribosomal RNA
Rfam family: Bacterial small subunit ribosomal RNA
Source: RNAcentral
GACGAACGCUGGCGGCGUGCCUAAUACAUGCAAGUAGAACGCUGAAGGAGGAGCUUGCUCUUCUGGAUGAGUUGCGAACGGGUGAGUAACGCGUAGGUAACCUGCCUGGUAGCGGGGGAUAACUAUUGGAAACGAUAGCUAAUACCGCAUAAGAGUAGAUGUUGCAUGACAUUUACUUAAAAGGUGCAAUUGCAUCACUACCAGAUGGACCUGCGUUGUAUUAGCUAGUUGGUGGGGUAACGGCUUACCAAGGCGACGAUACAUAGCCGACCUGAGAGGGUGAUCGGCCACACUGGGACUGAGACACGGCCCAGACUCCUACGGGAGGCAGCAGUAGGGAAUCUUCGGCAAUAGACGGAAGUCUGACCGAGCAACGCCGCGUGAGUGAAGAAGGUUUUCGGAUCGUAAAGCUCUGUUGUAAGAGAAGAACGAGUGUGAGAGUGGAAAGUUCACACUGUGGCGGUAUCUUACCAGAAAGGGACGGCUAACUACGUG